GAAUGCGUAGCACACCUAGCUGGUAUACAGGUGCCCUGGCCGGGGAGGAACAGGCGGCAAAAGACGGACUUUAAGUCACUUUAGUAACCUCUUUUCAUGACCAGCAGCCAACGAGGUCCUGUCAUUAUGACAGCGGAGAGACAUCUGUCAUGAAAACAGGAACCCAUUUAGAUGGCAAUGAAUGCCCCACCCCUCUGGCUCCAAGCACUUCAGUUUCCUCAUUGUUUCCAAGGAUGGCACAUCUUGGAUUCUGCGGUGGCCAUGCUGCUCCCCUCACCCUGGAGAUACGGUUGGAUAGGACACUAUAAUCCCUUGCUAACAACCAGCUCCCCUCUGUGUGCUGAAGUGGCUGAGACAGAAGCCUGUGGGUCAGGAGUGAGAGGCUGCUCGGGACAUUUUGAUGUUUUCAUUUGUAUCAGUAUUACAGCGGCUGAUUUGGUCUGUAGUCAGGAGAAAUGCCUUUGAGGGCUUGUUCUGACAUUUGGCUUUAAUAACGGGACAAAUUAUGGCCUCAAGUAUCAGACACAUGGCUGGCAGGGCCUUUCUGAGGGGCCAUCUGUUCUGAGCUCGUGAGCGUCAUCUAGAAUUUUCAGUUUUUUAAGUUGCCAAAUGCAUUUUUGACCUGGUUCAAGUGAUCACUAUAUUUUACCAAACAGAAACAAAUAAGCCAAGGUGAACAUAACUUUCAUGUAGGGCCGUUGCUAGGAUUUUAGAAAUACAGACCUGACCUGACCUGAUCAUUUUGAGAUUUUUUUGACAUAGCAAAUUUUCACAUUUUAUUUUUAAUUUAAUUGUUCAGUUAUAUAUUUAGUCUAUUUUUUUUUUUUAGUAUAACCCACAGAUGAUGAUCUAAAUGCUGUUCAAAGCCUCCCUCAGGAAUAAAAUCUGGUGCAGAAAUCCUACAUUCCUUUAAUUUUUUAUUUUUAAUAUUGAUUACUAUUUUGUAUAAAAAUUUAAAUAUAUUGUCUCUAUUUUACAAGAACACAAAAGUCCAAAGAUUCUACAUUGAGACUUCAAAUGGACAACAACAACAAAAAAAAUCUAUAUAAUAAAAAUCUGUUUUCCUGUUAACCUCUAAGAGCCGUCAACAUGUUCUAUACAUCAGUAAACAAUACUCCU
Long non-coding RNA from Toxotes jaculatrix (banded archerfish), 1119 nucleotides. RefSeq lists it as uncharacterized. Lineage: Eukaryota; Metazoa; Chordata; Actinopteri; Toxotidae. The record is from RefSeq and is a predicted model, not a curated record. The transcript is spliced from 3 exons.